RNAcentral lists this ribosomal RNA (782 nucleotides) under uncultured bacterium. RNAcentral describes it as "partial 16S ribosomal RNA". The record is from RNAcentral.
AGUAGACUACCCGACGACUGGCAUUCAUCGUUUACGGUGUGGACUACCAGGGUAUCUAAUCCUGUUUGCUCCCCACACUUUCGCACCUCAGCGUCAGUAUCGAGCCAGUGAGCCGCCUUCGCCACUGGUGUUCCUCCAAAUAUCUACGAAUUUCACCUCUACACUUGGAAUUCCACUCACCUCUCUCGAACUCAAGACUGGGAGUUUUAAAGGCAGUUCCAGGGUUGAGCCCUGGGAUUUCACCUCUAACUUUCCAAUCCGCCUACGUGCGCUUUACGCCCAGUAAUUCCGAACAACGCUAACCCCCUCCGUAUUACCGCGGCUGCUGGCACGGAGUUAGCCGGGGUUUCUUUACCAGGUACUGUCAUUAUCAUCCCUGGCGAAAGAGCUUUACGACCCUAAGGCCUUCUUCACUCACGCGGCAUGGCUAGAUCAGGCUUGCGCCCAUUGUCUAAGAUUCCCCACUGCUGCCUCCCGUAGGAGUCUGGGCCGUGUCUCAGUCCCAGUGUUGCUGAUCAUCCUCUAAAACCAGCUAUAGAUCGUAGACUUGGUAGGCCAUUACCCCACCAACUAUCUAAUCUAACGCGGGCCGAUCCUUCUCCGAUAAAUCUUUCCCCCGAAGGGCGUAUACGGUAUUACUCUUCGUUUCCAAAGGCUAUUCCGUAGAAAAGGGUACGCUCCCACGCGUUACUAACCCGUCCGCCGCUAGACCCGAAGGUCUCGCUCGACUUGCAUGUGUUAGGCCUGCCGCCAGCGUUCGUUCUGAGCCAGGAUCAAACUCU